UGCUUGAUAGAAACUGGGGCGGCAUGGCUCAGUGGGUAGAGUGGUCGUCCUGCAGCCGAAGAGUUGCCGGUUCGAGCCCGGCCCAGAGAGCUGAUGUCGAGGUGUCCCUGAGCAAGACACCGAACCCCAAAUUGCUCCUGAUGGGUAGUGGUUGAG
Molecule: long non-coding RNA, 156 nt
Organism: Melanotaenia boesemani (Boeseman's rainbowfish)
Lineage: Eukaryota; Metazoa; Chordata; Actinopteri; Atheriniformes; Melanotaeniidae
Exons: 3
Source: RefSeq, a predicted model, not a curated record